Molecule: transfer RNA, 76 nt
Filed under: Mus musculus (house mouse)
Lineage: Eukaryota; Metazoa; Chordata; Mammalia; Rodentia; Muridae
Description: tRNA-Ser
Source: RNAcentral
GGAGAGAUGGCUCAGUGGUUAAGAGCACUGCCUGCUCCUCUAGAGGUCCUGAGUUCAAUUCCCAGCAACCACUCUG